This 250-nucleotide ribosomal RNA is filed under the name uncultured bacterium. Its description in RNAcentral is "partial 16S ribosomal RNA". It matches the Rfam family "Bacterial small subunit ribosomal RNA", at positions 524 to 776 of the family's 1533-position model. The record is from RNAcentral.
UACGGAGGGUGCAAGCGUUAUCCGGAUUCACUGGGUUUAAAGGGUGCGUAGGUGGGCAGGUAAGUCAGCGGUGAAAUCCCGAGCUUAACUUGGGAACUGCCAUUGAUACUAUCUGUCUUGAAUACCUUGGAGGUGAGCGGAAUAUGUCAUGUAGCGGUGAAAUGCUUAGAUAUGACAUAGAACACAAUUGCGAAGCGGCUCACUGGUCCGGUUCUGACGCUGAGGCGCGAAAGCGUGGGGAGCAAACAGG